Molecule: ribosomal RNA, 442 nt
Filed under: uncultured bacterium
Lineage: Bacteria
Description: partial 16S ribosomal RNA
Rfam family: Bacterial small subunit ribosomal RNA
Source: RNAcentral
CCUACGGGAGGCAGCAGUAGGGAAUCUUUCACAAUGGGCGAAAGCCUGAUGGAGCAACGCCGCGUGCAGGAUGAAGGCCUUCGGGUUGUAAACUGCUUUUAUAAGCGAGAAAUAUGAUGGUAACUUAUGAAUAAGGAUCGGCUAACUACGUGCCAGCAGCCGCGGUCAUACGUAGGAUCCGAGCAUUAUCCGGAGUGACUGGGUGUAAAGAGUUGCGUAGGUGGCAUAAUAAGUAGCUAGUGAAAUCUGGUGGCUCAACCAUUCAGACUAUUAGCUAAACUGUUAAGCUCGAGACCGUUAGGGGUAACUGGAAUUUCUAGUGUAGGAGUGAAAUCCGUAGAUAUUAGAAGGAACACCAAUAGUGUAGGCAGGUUGCUGGGACGGUUCUGACACUAAGGCACGAAAGCGUAGGGAGCAAACGGGAUUAGAUACCCGAGUAGUC